Molecule: ribosomal RNA, 495 nt
Filed under: uncultured bacterium
Lineage: Bacteria
Description: partial 16S ribosomal RNA
Rfam family: Bacterial small subunit ribosomal RNA
Source: RNAcentral
GACGAACGCUGGCGGCGUGCCUAAUACAUGCAAGUCGAACGCUGAAGGAGGAGCUUGCUUCUCUGGAUGAGUUGCGAACGGGUGAGUAACGCGUAGGUAACCUGCCUGGUAGCGGGGGAUAACUAUUGGAAACGAUAGCUAAUACCGCAUAAGAGUAGAUGUCGCAUGACAUUUGCUUAAAAGUUGCAAUUGCAUCACUACCAGAUGGACCUGCGGUGUAUUAGCUAGUUGGUGAGGUAACGGCUCACCAAGGCAACGAUACAUAGCCGACCGGAGAGGGUGGGCGGCCACACUGGGACUGAGACACGGCCCAGACGCCUACGGGAAGCAGCAGUAGGGAAUCUUCGGCAAGGGACGGAAGUCUGACCGAGAAACGCCGCGUGAGGGAAGAAGGGUGUCGGAUCGUAAAGCUCGGUUGUAAGAGAAGAACGAGUGUGAGAGUGGAAAGUUCACACUGUGACGGUAUCUUACCAGAAAGGGACGGCUAACUACGUG